Molecule: ribosomal RNA, 326 nt
Filed under: uncultured Bacteroidota bacterium
Lineage: Bacteria; Pseudomonadati; Bacteroidota
Description: bacterial SSU rRNA
Rfam family: Bacterial small subunit ribosomal RNA
Source: RNAcentral
GAUGAACGCUAGCGGGAGGCUUAACACAUGCAAGUCGAGGGGCAUCACAGGUAGCAAUACUGGGUGGCGACCGGCGCACGGGUGAGUAACGCGUAUGCAACCUACCCUGUACAGGGGGAUAGCCCGGAGAAAUUCGGAUUAAUACCCCAUAAUGAUAUUUAGAGGCAUCUUUAGAUAUUUAAAGUUUCGACGGUACAGGAUGGGCAUGCGUGACAUUAGCUAGUUGGUAAGGUAACGGCUUACCAAGGCUACGAUGUCUAGGGGUCCUGAGAGGGUGAUCCCCCACACUGGUACUGAGACACGGACCAGACUCCUACGGGUGGCUG